Molecule: long non-coding RNA, 6532 nt
Organism: Orcinus orca (killer whale)
Lineage: Eukaryota; Metazoa; Chordata; Mammalia; Artiodactyla; Delphinidae
Exons: 4
Source: RefSeq, a predicted model, not a curated record
AGGGAAAAAUUUUCCAGGUAAGGAAAGAGCCUGUGUGAAGGUCCUGAGUCAGGAAAGGUCUUGCCACAUGGGAACUGAAGGAAGUUCAGUGCAGCAGAAGUGUGGUGAUGAAGCAGGGUAGUGGGGCAAGAUGGGGCCAGGUCAUGUAGAGAUUGGGAGGGCAGAGCAAGGACCUUAGUCUUUAUUCUAGAAGAAACAGGAAGUCCUUGGAGGAGAUUAAGCAGAGGGGAGACAUCAUACAGUUUGAACUGUAAUGAAAUCCCUCUGGCUGCUGGGUGGAGAGUGGGUGGGAAGAUGGCCAGGUAGGAUCCUAAUAUCCUGCUUGCUACCACCAGUUCAGGCAGACUGUUGGUAGCAAGUAAGAUGGAGAGAAGUGAGUAGGUACAAGAUACAUUUAGGAAGUUAAAUUGUCAGGUUUGAGGAUGGACUGGGGGUACGGGGUGGGGAAGGAGAUGUCAGGGGUCAAAGGAUAAUUUUUUAAAGAUAAAAUCAUGAUUUUCAUACACAUGUAAAAUGAACACAUGUCAAAGAUCUUAUUUCACUUAAUAAUAAAUGAAGCAAAAAUGUGUCACAACUUGUUCAGAGGAGAAGUCAAAGGCAUGCUGAAAUGAAUUUGCAAAAACCGGUCUAUCCAUAGGGCAACGUCAGUUGUAUUUCAUUGGACACAGGUAAUUUGCCUUUCUGUGGGUGCAAAUUAUUUGCAUCUGUUUUCUCCAGGUUAACUUCUACCUCCACAGAGGUACGGAAUAAUCUAGGCAAAAAUAACAAAGGCACACAUCCUGUAGAAUCGUGUUUAUCAGAGGCUCCAGCAUUCUGUUAAAAGAAUACCUAAGAAUCAUUUUUGCCCGUUCUAAAGUCUGGAAUUUUUCCUUCCAAAAGGAUGACUCCUAGUAUCUGAGUAGGUGCUCAGACAGGGCAGAUGGGCAGGGUGGGGAAUGAGGGUUGGGGGAGAAGAUACACCAAGAUUGCGAUGGAAGAGUGAGGAUACGUUUGUGGACUUGGUACCUUUGAGGGGCCUGUUGCAUGUCAAAACGAGGUCCACGAAGUGAUGCUGGAGAGAUGGCUUUUGAGCAGGAGCUUUAAGACUAAGCAGGAUAAGGACGUAAAAAGGUAUGAGAAGAUGCAAGAAAUUGGACUCAGAAAAUCUUCUCCUGAAAAUAUCUAACUACCUGAAGACCUGUUCUGCCAGUUUUUCCCAGAGUACAGAGCACUUCAUUCCUGAUCUCCACCCUGACCUCCUUUCAGGCUCCUGUUUUACAGCUCCCCAAACCCUUGGAAUUUCCUAACUGUUAAGAGCAUAAAUGUGUCUCGUUAUAUGAAUGAGCUGACUUUUGGAAAGCACCUAAGGAUGGGAGCUGGUUGCCAGAAGAACCAACUAAGUGACUAGAGGGUUGGAAAUUUCAGUCCCACCCUUGAGCUCUGGGGAGGGGAGAAGUGAAGAACGGCGGGUUGAAUUAAUCGCCAAGGGCCAAGAGUUCAUCAAUCGUGCAUGUGUAAUGAAUCCUCCAUAGAGACCCAAAAGGACGGGGUUCUGGGAGCUCCCGAGUUGGUGAACGUGUGCAGAUCUGGGGAGAGCGCUGCCUGGAAAGCAUGGAAGCUCUGAAUCCUUUCUCACACCUUGCCCUGUGCACCUCUUCCAUCUGGCUGUUCCUGAGUUCAUAACCUUUUAAAAUAAAUCUGUGAUCUAGCAAGUAACAAGGUUCUCUGAGUUCUGUGAGCCACUCUAGCAAAUUCAUCAAUCCCAAGGAGGGUUGGGAACCUCUGACUUAUAGCCAGUGGCUUAGAAGCACAGGUGACAACCUGCACUUGGGGCUGGUGUCUGAAGUCCAAGGAGGAGGUCGUGGGAACCUCCAGUCUGUAGCCGGUGAGUCAGAAGCGCAGGUAGCAACCUAGACUUGCAGUUGACGUCUGACGUGGGCGUGCGGGCGUUGUGCGACUGGAUCUGUAACCUUCAGGCUCUGACGCCACCUCGGAGCAGUCUUGGAACUUGAGACUGCACUGCUGUGAAGAAGCUCCUGGAGUGUGAGAGACGCCACAUGAAGGAGAACCCAGGCCUCCCAGCCAAAAGCCAGCACCAGCUUCCAGGUACCUGACUGAGACCACCUCGGACUUCCCAGCCCCACAAGAGCUGUCAGGUGACUGCCAUCACGUAAGUGGUUCCAGGAAAGACCAGCGGAAGAACCACCCAGAUUGCCAGUCCACCGAAUCAAGAGAAACAAGAAAUCAUUGUUUUUACCACUAAGUUUUGGGGUGGAUUUUUACAAAGCAACAGAUAAGAUAGCAGAUGGUGAUCUACAGGGAAUUGUGAAAUCGAUUUUCUGGGGGAGGAAAACAGUAUAAAAAGUAUAUGAGACGGCAGAAUAGAAUAUAUGAGUUCAUUUCAUACAGAAUCGUUGCAAUUAUCUGUUGCUGUGUAGUAAGGCACUCCAAAAGUUCAUGGUGAAAAGCCACCAUUUUAUGCUGAAACUUCAUAUGCUGGACCAGGAGUUUGGCAAGUGCAGGGGAUGUGGUUCAUCUUUGUUUUCAAUGGAGCCUCGGCUGUGAUAGAUCAAAUUUGGGGCUGUGGCUGGAUGAACUGAUUAGGGCCGUAUGUCUGGGGCCUUGACUCUGUCUGCUGGGUGCGUUCCUCGUUUCUUCUCCCCAUCAUGUCUUCAGGAACAGGAACGUCCAACUUGGCUUCUUCACUUCCAGUAGGCUGGCAGGAGCCGCGAGGAUCUCGCUCUGCACAGCUCUCCAUGGGGCCAGCUUGGGCUUCCUUACAGCACGGUGGGCCUGGGUAGCUGGACUUCUUACUCGGUGGCUGGUUUCUGCAAGGCUUCUGCUGACCUCGCUUCAGAGGUCCGUGAACAUCACACCUGCUACAUUCUGUUGGUCAACCAGGUAAGUCGCUGAGGCCAGCCCAGGCUUAAGGAGGUCGGGACGGGGGGAUUAAGACCCCACCUCUUAAUGAGAGGAGCAGCAAAGAAUCUGCAGCCUAGGGGGUAUUUUGUCACAUACUGUAUUUGUAAGAUGUCAUUGCUUGUAAGACACAUCCUGACUUCACGGGUAAAAAGAUGUGAAAAAACGGUCAUAAUAAAAUUGAUGAAAUGUAGUGUAUACAUGCAGAGCUGUGGUGUAAAAUGUUUUCCACUGUGGCUUGCUUAGAAGUUCAAAACUAGGCUAAAUUACAUUCCAAAGUGAGAGCCAAGAAGCAAUUUCCAGACAUCUAGUCCAGACUAAGACAGUUUGUCACAUGGAGGAUGUCCCUAAAAAUAACUAUUAAAAUUUUUGUUAUGCUAAAAAAAUUCACACGAAUGCAAAAACAGAUUAAUAUAAUAAACCUUCAUGAAAACAUUACCCAUCUUUUUUUCUUUUUUAACAUCUUUAUUGGAGUGUAAUUGCUUUAAAAUGUUGUGUUAGUUUCUGCUGUAUAUCAAAGUGAAUCAGCUACAUGUAUAGACAUCCCCCAUAUUCCUUCCCUCUUGUGUCUCCCUCCCACCCUCCCUAUCCCACCCCUCUAGGUGGUCACAAAGCACCGAGUUGAUCUCCCUGUGCUAUGCAGCUGCUUCCCACUAGCUAUCUAUUUUACCUUUGGUAGUGUAUAUAUGUAAAUGCUACUCUCUCACUUCGUCCCAGCUUACCCUUCCCCCUCCCCAUGUCCUCAAGUCCAUUCUCUAUGUCUGCAUCUUUAUUCCUGUCCUGCCCCUAGGUUCAUCAGAACCUUUUUUUUUUUUGUAGAUUUCAUAUAUAUACAUGGAAUACAUAUAUACGGUAGUUGCUUUUCUCUUUCGGACUUACUACACCCUGUAUGACAGACUCUAGGUCCAUCCACCUCAUUACAAAUAACUCAAUUUUGUUUCUUUGUAUAGCUGUGUAAUGUUCCAUUGUAUGUAUGUGCCACAUCUUCUUUAUCCAUUCAUCUGUCGAUGGACACUUCCAUCACCCAUCUUUUACAGUUAUCUCCCCACAGGGUCAAUUUUUUUUGAUCCAUAUCCUGACUUAUCCCUGCCCCAGGAUUAUUUUAAAGCAAAUGCCAGACACUGUAUUAUUUCAUCUGUAAAUACUGGGGAAUACUGUCUUUCCACAUGCCUUUUUUGUUGUAAUCACAGUGAUCCACUUGGCUUGGCAAUAGAUAAUAUUUACAGCCUUAUUAAUGGAAACAGUGGACAUGGAUUCAACAACUUUGAUUUAACUGUGUUGGGAGAGGAAAGGGCAGGGCAGAGGAAUGCUAAAAUUCCCAUCUACCAUAAAGAGUUGCCAAUCUGCAAAGUCUAAAAUUGGUGAAUCAAGGGCUUCCCUGAUGGCGCAGUGGUUAAGAAUCCGCCUGCCGGUGCAGGGAACAUGGAUUCGAGCCCUGGCCCGGGAAGAUCCCACAUGCCGCGGAGCAACUAAGCCCGUGUGCCACAACUACUGAGCCCGAGAGCCACAACUACUGAAGCCCACACGCCUAGAGCCCGUGCUCCGUAACAAGAGAAGCCACCACAACUAGAGAAAGCCCGCACGCGGCAACAGAGACCCAACGCUGCCAAAAAUAAAAACAAAUAAAUUUAUAAAUAAAUAAAUAAAAUUGGUGAAUCAAGGGGCCACAUUAAACACAAAUUACUUAGGAGUAAGGAAGCAACUAGAGGAAACAGUUAACCCAGCUGCACAUGGACCACAGAAGGGGAAGUCAGAGAGUGGGGCCGCUGGGGUCUCACUUAAGUGAUAUACACGUUAUUACUUUGAUUAAAAUAAAACAUUAAAAAGAAAGUAAGGUGGGGACUUCCCUGGUGGUUCAGUGGUUAAGACUCCACGCUCCCAAUGCAGGGGCCCCGGGUUCGAUCCCUGGUCCGGGAACUAGAUCCCACAUGCAUGCCACAACUGAGUUUGCAUGCCACAGCUAAGGAGCCUGCCUGCUGCAACUAAGGAGCCUGCCUGCCACAACUAAGACCCGAUGCAACCAAAUAAAUAAAUAUUGAAUUUAAAAAAUUAAGAUGUUGGAGAAUUGAUGACUAAAAUCUCUUCGGCCCUAUAGGUAGUGUAAUACUACAAUUCCUCAGUUACGUUUUUUUUUUUUUUUAUAAAUUUAUUUAUUUCAUUUAUUUUAUUUUUGGCUGCAUUGGGUCUUUGUUGCUGCGCGCGGCUUUCUCUAGUCGCAGCGAGCUGGGGCUACUGUUCGUUGCAGUGCAUGGGCUUCUCAUUGUGGUGGCUUCUCUUUGUUGCGGAGUAUGGGCCCUAGGUGCGCAGGCUUCAGUAGUUGUGGCGUGCAAGCUCAGUACUUGUGGCGCACGGGCUUAGCUGCUCCGCGGCACGUGGGACCUUCCCGGACCAGGGCUCAAACCCGUGUCCUCUGCAUUGGCAGGCGGAUUCUUAACCACUGUGCCACCAGGUAAGUCCCCAAAUCACUUUUUAAUAGAGCAGAGUUUGUCGGUCUACCUUUGCAGCUAGGGACACUCGACACACUCCAGUUGGAAGAAUACUUCUCCUACCAGUCAAACCUGUUUGCACGCCACGGGUCAUUUUGAUUAUUUUAAAAUAUUUUCCAUGUUCUACCUGGCCAGUCUCUGCCAGCACCUACCAGGUCACUGUGAGCCGUCUGAUGGUCCUUCCCCCCACGUCCCAGCCCAGCCCCCUGCUCUCUGCUCACAGCGCCCUUCAUGGGAUGUCGAGGGUCCAGUCCCCACUAGAGGGCAGUCCCUGGGCAGGGCCAGUUCUAGCCAUCCUGGUAUCUCCAGGGCAGCAGGGUCUUCUCCAGAGUGCCUGAUGGUGGUGGUCCCACACAGAUACGUCUGUGCACAUCUCUGGAACUGGUGAAUGUGACUUUAUUUGGCAAAGUGAUCUUUGUAGAUGUAAUUAAGGAUCUUGAGAUGAGAUCGCCUUGGAUUACCUGGGUGGGCCAAUGAGAGGUGUUCUUAUAAAGAGACAGAAGAUGAGACACUCAGAGAGGCCACGUGAAGACAGAGCAGACUGGAAGGAUGCGGCCACGGCCACGGAAGCCAGCAACCACCGAACACUGGAAGAGAGAAUGGACCCUCCCCUCGAGCCUCCGCAAGGACCUGGCCCACCUCCUCUCCCACUGCACCUGCACGCUGGGCAUAGGGCUGCACACAGUGCUGGUCUCAGACAGCAGUACUUGAAAAGGUGCCCCGCUGAGUCCAGGACAUGAAACAGCAAAGGCACCGGCUACCCAUUCUCACCAAGGGAUUAAGCCAAGGAAAUGUAAGAAACAAAAGGAUCUGCGAUAUUUAGAAAUGUAUUGAGGACUUCCUUGGUGGCACAGCGGUUAAGAAUCCGCCUGCCAGUGCAGGGGACACGGGUUCGAGCCCUGGUCCAGGAAGAUCCCACAUGCCGCGGAGCAACUAAGCCCGUGGGCCACAACUACUGAGCCUGCGCUACAGAGCCUGUGAGCCACGACUACUGAGCCCUCGUGCCACAACUACGGAAGCCCACGCGCCUAGAGCCCGUGCUCCGCAACAAGAGAAGCCACCGCAAUGAGAAGCCCGCGCACCGCAACGAAGAGUAGCCCCCACUCGCCGCAACUAGAGAAAGCCUGCGCACAGCAACGAAGAUCCAA